GCUUAACGCGAAGAACCUUACCUACCCUCGACAUGUCCGAAACUUUCCAGAGAUGGAUUGGUGCCCGAAAGGGAAUCGGAACACAGGUGCUGCAUGGCUGUCGUCAGCUCGUGUCGUGAGAUGUUGGGUUAAGUCCCGCAACGAGCGCAACCCUUGUCCUUAGUUGCUACGCAAGAGCACUCUAAGGAGACUGCCGGUGACAAACCGGAGGAAGGUGGGGAUGACGUCAAGUCCUCAUGGCCCUUAUGGGCAGGGCUUCACACGUCAUACAAUGGUCGGUACAGAGGGUUGCCAAGCCGCGAGGUGGAGCCAAUCCCACAAAGCCGAUCGUAGUCCGGAUUGUUCUCUGCAACUCGAGAGCAUGAAGUCGGAAUCGCUAGUAAUCGCAGGUCAGCAUACUGCGGUGAAUACGUUCCCGGGUCUUGUACACACCG
Molecule: ribosomal RNA, 434 nt
Filed under: uncultured bacterium
Lineage: Bacteria
Description: bacterial SSU rRNA
Rfam family: Bacterial small subunit ribosomal RNA
Source: RNAcentral